AGGAGUUGGGGUACCGGUGAAAAAGCAAGGAAUUACUUCGAAUCACCUUAUCCACCUGGCAAAACCUUGACUUACCUUGUGCUGUUUGCUGCCGAAGACUGCCUCGUAGCAAAAUUGCUCUACCGGAGCACUGGGAAGCAUCGUGCCUGCGAGUUCUUGGUGACGAGCAGCUACUUCAACAUGUCUGAGUCCUCCCUAUGCUGCGACCGCAUGUAUAGCAUCUCUUGUGAGGAAACUGCGCAAGUAUUGUAUGAGCCCGGAAAAUGCUCUGCCUUAGAGAAUGCCACAAAAGGUUGAAGGAAACCGAAGAAAGAUACAAUUAGCGUCGCGAUC
Dermacentor andersoni is the source of this 333-nucleotide non-coding RNA. Lineage: Eukaryota; Metazoa; Arthropoda; Arachnida; Ixodida; Ixodidae. The record is from RefSeq and is a predicted model, not a curated record.